This 735-nucleotide ribosomal RNA is filed under the name uncultured Fusobacterium sp. RNAcentral describes it as "bacterial SSU rRNA". It matches the Rfam family "Bacterial small subunit ribosomal RNA", at positions 28 to 776 of the family's 1533-position model. Lineage: Bacteria; Fusobacteriati; Fusobacteriota; Fusobacteriia; Fusobacteriales; Fusobacteriaceae. The record is from RNAcentral.
GAUGAACGCUGACAGAAUGCUUAACACAUGCAAGUCAACUUGAAUUUGGGUUUUUAACUUAGGUUUGGGUGGCGGACGGGUGAGUAACGCGUAAAGAACUUGCCUCACAGUUAGGGACAACAUUUGGAAACGAAUGCUAAUACCUAAUAUUAUGAUAAUAGGGCAUCCUAUAAUUAUGAAAGCUAUAAGCGCUGUGAGAGAGCUUUGCGUCCCAUUAGCUAGUUGAAGAGGUAACGGCUCACCAAGGCGAUGAUGGGUAGCCGGCCUGAGAGGGUGAUCGGCCACAAGGGGACUGAGACACGGCCCUUACUCCUACGGGAGGCAGCAGUGGGGAAUAUUGGACAAUGGACCAAGAGUCUGAUCCAGCAAUUCUGUGUGCACGAUGAAGUUUUUCGGAAUGUAAAGUGCUUUCAGUUGGGAAGAAAGAAAUGACGGUACCAACAGAAGAAGUGACGGCUAAAUACGUGCCAGCAGCCGCGGUAAUACGUAUGUCACGAGCGUUAUCCGGAUUUAUUGGGCGUAAAGCGCGUCUAGGUGGUUAUGUAAGUCUGAUGUGAAAAUGCAGGGCUCAACUCUGUAUUGCGUUGGAAACUGUAUAACUAGAGUACUGGAGAGGUAAGCGGAACUACAAGUGUAGAGGUGAAAUUCGUAGAUAUUUGUAGGAAUGCCGAUGGGGAAGCCAGCUUACUGGACAGAUACUGACGCUGAAGCGCGAAAGCGUGGGUAGCAAACAGG